GGCGGACGGGUGAGUAACGCGUGGGAACGUGCCCUUUGGUUCGGAAUAGCCCAGGGAAACUUGGAUUAAUACCGGAUACGCCCUUUUGGGGAAAGAUUUAUCGCCGAAGGAUCGGCCCGCGUUGGAUUAGGUAGUUGGUGGGGUAAUGGCCUACCAAGCCGACGAUCCAUAGCUGGUUUGAGAGGAUGAUCAGCCACACUGGGACUGAGACACGGCCCAGACUCCUACGGGAGGCAGCAGUGGGGAAUCUUGGACAAUGGGGGAAACCCUGAUCCAGCCAUGCCGCGUGAGCGAUGAAGGCCUUAGGGUUGUAAAGCUCUUUCACCGGGGACGAUAAUGACGGUACCCGGAGAAGAAGCCCCGGCUAACUCCGUGCCAGCAGCCGCGGUAAUACGGAGGGGGCUAGCGUUGUUCGGAAUUACUGGGCGUAAAGCGCACGUAGGCGGACCAGAAAGUUGGGGGUGAAAUCCCGGGGCUCAACCCCGGAACUGCCUCCAAAACUCCUGGUCUGGAGUCCGAGAGAGGUGAGUGGAAUUCC
RNAcentral lists this ribosomal RNA (538 nucleotides) under uncultured Paracoccaceae bacterium. Its description in RNAcentral is "bacterial SSU rRNA". It matches the Rfam family "Bacterial small subunit ribosomal RNA", at positions 97 to 670 of the family's 1533-position model. Lineage: Bacteria; Pseudomonadati; Pseudomonadota; Alphaproteobacteria; Rhodobacterales; Paracoccaceae. The record is from RNAcentral.